CAGCAGGCGCGAAAACUUUACAAUGCUGGAAACAGCGAUAAGGGGACCUCGAGUGCCAGGUUACAAAUCUGGCUGUCGUGAUGCCUAAAAAGCAUUGCAUAGCAAGGGCCGGGCAAGACCGGUGCCAGCCGCCGCGGUAACACCGGCGGCUCGAGUGGUAACCGUUAUUAUUGGGUCUAAAGGGUCUGUAGCCGGCCGGAUAAGUCUCUUGGGAAAUCCAGCAGCUCAACUGUUGGGCUUUCAGGAGAUACUGUCUGGCUCGAGGCCGGGAGAGGUGAGAGGUACUUCAGGGGUAGGGGUGAAAUCUUGUAAUCCUUGAAGGACCACCAGUGGCGAAGGCGUCUCACCAGAACGGACCUGACGGCAAGGGACGAAAGCUAGGGGCACGAACCGGAUUAGAUACCCGGGUAGUCCUAGCCGUAAACGAUACUCGCUAGGUGUCGGCCACGGUGCGACCGUUGUCGGUGCCGUAGGGAAGCCGUGAAGCGAGCCACCUGGGAAGUACGGCCGCAAGGCUGAAACUUAAAGGAAUUGGCGGGGGAGCAC
Molecule: ribosomal RNA, 546 nt
Filed under: uncultured archaeon
Lineage: Archaea
Description: bacterial SSU rRNA
Rfam family: Archaeal small subunit ribosomal RNA
Source: RNAcentral